This 1103-nucleotide long non-coding RNA is filed under the name Phocoena sinus (vaquita). RNAcentral's name for it is "lncRNA (ENSPSNG00000022603.1)". The record is from RNAcentral. Lineage: Eukaryota; Metazoa; Chordata; Mammalia; Artiodactyla; Phocoenidae.
GGGCCACAGACGUGAAGUCACGGCUCGCAGGGCCUGAAGCCACGGCGAAGCAGGCCUGAAGGAGCCACCUGCAUACGGAGCCCUGCGGCCCAGGAUCGGCGCACUUGUGGUUCUCAACCUGGCUACUCACCAGAAUCGCCUACGGGAGCCUUGGUCCAUCCCAGAGACGCUUGAGAAACCGGCCUGGGUGUCCUCAGCAGCUAGUUUAUUAAAUAGCCAAACUACAUGUCUGUGGACCAACCCAUGUCUCCAUGCAGCCCCUGAGAUGGAGCAGAGAAAACAAGCACCAAAACCCCUGGGGACUCAAGGGCCCCUCGUGGGGCCCAGACAAGGCUCCUGGCACCACCACCUUCUUGGAAUGUGUCCUUACCUGUGAGCUGGAGCAAUUGGGACACACUGCAGGCUGCAGCGGACGCCGGGCUGCCGCGGAGGCUCUGUGCUGGCUGCUUCUCCUCUCCCCGGCUCCCGCUGCCAUCGGCCUUCUGCCCUGGGCCCUGGCCACAGGCCCAAGUCUCUCCUGUUCCUCUGGCCUCAUGUGUGUGCUCCUAACAAUCCCAGCAGGAGCCAGGGUAGAGACCGAUAUGGCGGGUGGGGAAACUGAAGUCCAGGGGAGGCCCUAAUGCCCCAGACUGGCAGACAGGUCCUCCACUGCACCCUCCCAUCUCCACGCUCUGUGCUUUUUCUGAUCCCUACCAGAGACUCCAAGUGGAUUCCCACCAGCGCUCUCAGGCCUUCAGCAAGGCACUAGGGGCGUCUCCUCGGGGCCUGGGUGGGGAGUCAGGCCCCUGUCUGCCCUCAAACAGCUGGACCCUGGCUCCGCAGAAGGUCAGGCAUCCAAACGCCACCCCAGAGGCUCCCUGGCCCGCCUCCCACAUGAUGUUGAGAGAGGAGACACUUUCUACUUGUGUGUGUUCCGCUCCCGGGCAGGAGACGAGCUCAAGGGAGCCAGGCCAGGGAGGUGCACGGGGGCAAGGUAGCGGAGGGUGCCUCCAGACCCGACCCCGCACACUGCCAGCACCCCACCGUCCGUGCGCCUGCAGUGCCGGUGUGGCCUGGUGCACCACAGGGUUAAAUGUGGAAUAAAUGAGUGAGAUCUGGCCGAC